This is a long non-coding RNA of Dermacentor albipictus, 708 nucleotides long. RefSeq lists it as uncharacterized. Lineage: Eukaryota; Metazoa; Arthropoda; Arachnida; Ixodida; Ixodidae. The record is from RefSeq and is a predicted model, not a curated record.
CCGGGAGAGCGCUGGCAACCGAGAUAGGCGCCACACUCCACCGUGCUAGGACGUGCGCGCCAGGCGCAAGGAAAACAAUAUGAAGGAAGUCACACGGCCAUGCGCACGCUGACCUAUACUAUAUGGUGCAUGGACACGGUGCAGGAGCGGAAUGAAACAAACGGCCUGGCAAAAUCAAAUGUUCUUUAUUUUUUUUUCAGAGAUUUAGGAAGUCUUUCACCACGACACGCAUGGCGCCUGCAUCAGCGCUACGGCUAAGGAGCUUACAAGGGAUCAUCCUCUGCGUGUUCUCCCGUGUGUUCACCCGAUGUACGGGAGAGGAUCUUCUAAGGGCCGGCCGUGCUCGAACGUUCUCGGCCGUCUUCGUGGCACCCCCCGAUUACAGGAAGCCUCGAGCUCGCUCAAUCCCGACGCCGCCCCGGCUGCGGGGGCCACCGAGCACUUUCUCCGCCGGCGUCGCCGGCACUCGGAGGCGGCUCUCAAAAGUUCGGAGCUGGAAGAUCAACUCUGGGCCGUCCGGCUAGCCGAAGAUGCCGCCCGAGUCUGAGGACUUCGAGCCGCCACCUGAGAAACCCACAACCAAAUUUGCCCGACCAUUCUUUCCAGCUACUUCCCCUUGGCAAGCAUGGUCGCGAGGCUGGCCUUGACCUUCGCGUCAUUUGUUCCAGAGAUGCUGCAAUCGUGUGCUGCAAAUAAAUAGAUGCAAUA